This 253-nucleotide ribosomal RNA is filed under the name uncultured bacterium. RNAcentral describes it as "partial 16S ribosomal RNA". It matches the Rfam family "Bacterial small subunit ribosomal RNA", at positions 524 to 776 of the family's 1533-position model. The record is from RNAcentral.
UACGAAGGGUGCAAGCGUUGUCCGGAAUUACUGGGCGUAAAGAGUUCGUAGGCGGUUUGUCGCGUCGUUUGUGAAAACUCACAGCUCAACUGUGAGCCUGCAGGCGAUACGGGCAGACUUGAGUACUGCAGGGGAGACUGGAAUUCCUGGUGUAGCGGUGAAAUGCGCAGAUAUCAGGAGGAACACCGGUGGCGAAGGCGGGUCUCUGGGCCGUAACUGACGCUGAGGAACGAAAGCGUGGGUAGCAAACAGG